Molecule: long non-coding RNA, 177 nt
Organism: Zingiber officinale
Lineage: Eukaryota; Viridiplantae; Streptophyta; Magnoliopsida; Zingiberales; Zingiberaceae
Exons: 2
Source: RefSeq, a predicted model, not a curated record
AGAAAAUGGCAAAUGGUGGGAGAGUGAAUAGCUGGACAUGUAUCAAUUUUGCAAAGAAUGUGCAAGAUAAUUUGACUAGGGGAUUUUGUCAUGAGCUUGCUCAGAUGUGCCAGAUAUCAGGAAUGGAAUUUUCUCUAGAUCCUGUGCUUCAUCCUCUAACUGCUCGACCUGAUCAUG